This 1243-nucleotide ribosomal RNA is filed under the name metagenome. RNAcentral's name for it is "bacterial LSU rRNA". It matches the Rfam family "Bacterial large subunit ribosomal RNA", at positions 1564 to 2817 of the family's 2925-position model. The record is from RNAcentral.
UGAAUACGAGACGCUAAGGCGUCGAAGUAGUGUAUGUCAUACUUCCAAGAAAAGCUUGCACUGUCAUAGAUAAAAAACGCCUGUACCAUAACCGACACAGGUGGGUAGGUAGAGUAUACUAAGGGGCGCGAGAUAACUCUCUCUAAGGAACUCGGCAAAAUAACUCCGUAACUUCGGGAGAAGGAGUGCCUUAUUCUUAAGGUUGCAAUAACAAGAUCCAAGCAACUGUUUAUCAAAAACACAGGUCUCCGCUAAGUCGUAAGACGAUGUAUGGGGGCUGACGCCUGCCCAGUGCCAGAAGGUUAAAGAAGCUGGUUAGCAUUUGCGAAGCUAGUAACUGAAGCCCUGGUGAACGGCGGCCGUAACAAUAACGGUCCUAAGGUAGCGAAAUUCCUUGUCGGGUAAGUUCCGACCCGCACGAAAGGCGUAAUGAUUUGGAUACUGUCUCGGAGAGGGGCUCGGUGAAAUAGACUUGUCUGUGAAGAUGCGGACUACCUGCACCAGGACAGAAAGACCCUAUGAAGCUUUACUGUAACUUGAAAUUGAAAUUGGACUUUAUUCGCGCAGUAUAGGUGGGAGGCGUUGAUUAUAAUCUUGCGGGAUUAUUGGAGCCAUUAGUGAGAUACCACUCUUGUAAUGUUAGAUUUCUAACUUUGAAUCAUUAUCUGGUCAAAGAACAGUUUCAGGCGGGCAGUUUGACUGGGGCGGUCGCCUCCCAAACGGUAACGGAGGCGCACAAAGGUUUCCUCUGAACGGUUAGAAAUCGUAUCUAGAGUGUAAAGGCAUAAGGAAGCUUGACUGUGAGACCUACAAGUCGAGCAGGGACGAAAGUCGGUCUUAGUGAUCUGACGGUACUGAGUGGAAAGGCCGUCACUCAACGGAUAAAAGUUACUCUAGGAUAACAGGCUGAUCUCCCCCAAGAGUUCACAUCGACGGGGAGGUUUGGCACCUCGAUGUCGGCUCAUCGCAUCCUGGGGCGGUAGUACGUCCCAAGGGUUGGGCUGUUCGCCCAUGAAAGCGGUACGCGAGCUGGGUUCAGAACGUCGUGAGACAGUUCGGUCCAUAUCCGGUGUAGGCGUUAGAAUAUUGAGAGGAGCCUUCUUUAGUACGAGAGGACCGAGAAGGACAUACCUCUGGUGUACCAGUUAUCGUGCCAACGGUAGACGCUGGGUAGCUAUGUAUGGAGUGGAUAACCGCUGAAAGCAUCUAAGUGGGAAGCCCACCUCAAGAUAAGUAUUCUCAC